UGGCCCUACGGGAGGCAGCAGUGGGGAAUAUUGCACAAUGGGGGAAACCCUGAUGCAGCAACGCCGCGUGAGUGAGGAAGUAUGUCCGUAUGUAAAGCUCUCUCAGCAGGGAAUAGAAAAGAAGGUACCUGAAAAAGAAGCCCCGGCUAACUACGUGCCAGCAGCCGCGGGAAUACGUAGGGGGCAAGCGUUAUCCGGAUUUACUGGGUGUAAAGGGAGCGUAGACGGAAA
This 231-nucleotide ribosomal RNA is filed under the name uncultured bacterium. Its description in RNAcentral is "partial 16S ribosomal RNA". It matches the Rfam family "Bacterial small subunit ribosomal RNA", at positions 333 to 581 of the family's 1533-position model. The record is from RNAcentral.